CGGACGUAGGUAACCUGCCUGGUAGCGGGGGAUAACUAUUGGAAACGAUAGCUAAUACCGCAUAAAAUAGGAUUAUUGCAUGAUAGUCAAUUGAAAAGGGUAGGCAACUGCACCACUACCAGAUGGACCUGCGUUGUAUUAGCUAGUUGGUGGGGUAACGGCUCACCAAGGCGACGAUACAUAGCCGACCUGAGAGGGUGAUCGGCCACACUGGGACUGAGACACGGCCCAG
RNAcentral lists this ribosomal RNA (232 nucleotides) under uncultured bacterium. RNAcentral's name for it is "partial 16S ribosomal RNA". It matches the Rfam family "Bacterial small subunit ribosomal RNA", at positions 112 to 334 of the family's 1533-position model. The record is from RNAcentral.